This 1032-nucleotide long non-coding RNA is filed under the name Prunus persica (peach). RNAcentral describes it as "long non-coding RNA (PPER_LNC003191)". Lineage: Eukaryota; Viridiplantae; Streptophyta; Magnoliopsida; Rosales; Rosaceae. The record is from RNAcentral.
UAACUCCAUCCCCGACGACCAGCUACCACCCCUUCUACCCCACCACCAUGGCAGUCCCAAGACUUGUCCUGGCAGACGGGGAUGUCCCCUAAUUUAACCGGGACAAUUUUCAUGUUUUUAUUACUUUCUUGCAGUUCGUAUUAUUUACCAUAAUUUAAUAAUUAUUUUCUUGGUCAAUUAGGCUUUCUAUAUGUUUUCUUUUUCAAUUAUGAUUUCUUAAUGCCGUUAAGGUUUUUUUUUUAAUCUUUCUAUUUCAACAAUCAGUAAAGGUUUCAUGCGGAGACUACUACUUGACUACUGAUUUCUAACCUAUUCUUUUUUUUUUCAGGUGACUUUCUAUAUAUUUUCUACAAAUUAGAAUUAGUGGCAAAGUUAGAAAUUCAUGUUAAGAGGAGCAUGUUAGACCUUAUAAAAAAAAAUUUCAGAAAAAAAGACCAUAUAAAAGAAAUUGACUUUGGUAUAAAAUCGGAAUAGUAGGAGAUAUAUUAAUGAUUUUGUUGUGUUAAUUUUCAAUGAAGUGUUCUUUUCAAUUUCUAAUCUAUAAGUCUGAACAUUUAGAGAAGACAAAUAACUAAACAAAAUAUGUGGAAAGAAUGACCAAUUCAUGAUUUGUUGAUGAGUCACGUGACUUAUUUUGGUUGAUGAGUCACGUGAACGUUUAGAAUUUUUAAUGACAAAUUAAUUAUAACAUUUAUAAAUUGGUGUGAAUAAUAUCUCCGUAGUGGAUACAAUAAUUCUCAGUUUUAUACUCGAGGAUGAAGUUCUUCUCAUGUUGAUCGAAAGGCCAAUUCAUGAUUUGUAUGUGAAUUAGCUAGAUGAAUGGUUAAUAGACAAUAUUUUUUUAAUCAAUAGACGAAGUAGAAUUCAAAAUUUUGACAUAUUUUAACAAAAAAAAAAAGAAGAAAAAUAUCUCUAAGCAUUAUCAGCACGGACAGAGUCAAAUAGUCUCAAGAAGCUGUGAAUGCAAAAAGUCCCACAUUGAAAAGUUGAGAAACAUAACAAGAGCUUAUAAGGAGUUGGGCUACUCUUCCC